Molecule: unclassified non-coding RNA, 246 nt
Filed under: uncultured fungus
Lineage: Eukaryota; Fungi
Description: partial contains 5.8S ribosomal RNA, internal transcribed spacer 2, and large subunit ribosomal RNA
Source: RNAcentral
AACGCACAUUGCGCCUUUUGGUAUUCCAUGAGGCAUGCCUGUUCGAGCGUUAUUAAACUCUACAAGCAAUGCUUGGUAUUGAAUUUGGCCUAAUAAGUCGAUUCUCAAAUGUUCAUAGAUUGAUAUGUGAUCUUUAACGACCAAAAACUUAUGUCUCCCGUUGAAAGGUGAUCAUAUUAAUUCUCGUACACUACCAAUUUUAUAUAGUUUAACCUCGGAUCAGGUAGGAUUACCCGCUGAACUUAA